RNAcentral lists this unclassified non-coding RNA (4168 nucleotides) under Dermacentor andersoni. RNAcentral's name for it is "poly [ADP-ribose] polymerase tankyrase-2-like". Lineage: Eukaryota; Metazoa; Arthropoda; Arachnida; Ixodida; Ixodidae. The record is from RNAcentral.
CCCUGGACGGGAUCACGUAAUACGUAAUGGAUGAUGGCAACCCGACGGGCCCAUCUACCAAUAUCUCUUGAUGCACCUCCGGCGGGGUCCGACACUGGUCGUGAGCUAUUUGAAGGCUGCAGAAACGGUGAUGUGACCCGUGUUAAGAAGCUGGUUACGCCUCACAAUGUGAACUCGCGGGAUACUACAGGAAGAAAGUCUACUCCUCUUCAUUUUGCUGCUGGGUUUGGGCGGCGAGAUGUGGUCGACCAUCUUCUACAAAAUGGGGCCAAUGUUCACGCCAAGGAUGAUGGUGGUCUGAUUCCCCUGCACAAUGCCUGCUCCUUUGGCCAUGCAGAAGUAGUGCUGCUCCUUUUGAAGCAUGGCGCUGACCCCAAUGCAAGGGAUAACUGGAACUACACACCACUUCAUGAAGCAGCAAUCAAAGGAAAGGUUGAUGUGUGCAUAGUGCUUCUGCAGCAUGGGGCAGACGCAUCUAUCCGCAACACAGAUGGAAAAAUUCCGCUGGACCUGGCGGACCCAUCGACCCGUAGUGUGCUCACAGGGGACUACAGGAAGGAUGAGCUGCUCGAGUCUGCUCGCAGUGGCAAUGAGGAGAAGCUUCUGGCACUGCUCACAUCUAUAAAUGUCAAUUGCCAUGCCAGCGAUGGCCGCAAGUCUACACCACUCCACCUUGCAGCAGGCUACAACAGAGUGCGGAUUGUCCAGCUCCUCCUGCAGCAUGGGGCUGAUGUUCAUGCCAAAGAUAAAGGUGGCCUGGUGCCUUUACAUAAUGCGUGUUCCUACGGCCAUUUUGAAGUGACUGAGAUGUUGAUAAAGCAUGGGGCCAAUGUGAAUGCCAUGGAUCUGUGGCAGUUCACACCACUGCACGAAGCAGCCUCCAAGAGUCGAGCUGAGGUGUGCUCACUGCUACUUGCACAUGGAGCUGACCCUGGUCUGCUCAACUGCCAUUCGAAGAGCCCAGUCAUGGUAGCUCCUUCCCGUGAUCUCCAGGACCGCAUGCUUUAUGAGUACAAAGGACAUGCACUACUGGAUGCAGCUCGGCAGGCUGACCUGGCACGCAUCAAAAAGUACAACACCCCUGAUGUAGCCAACUUCAAGCAUCCGUUCACAGGAGACACAUCCUUGCACGUGGUUGCGGUUUCUUCAUUUCCCAAGCGCAAACAGGCUAUAGAAUUGCUGCUCCGGAAGAAUGCUAACAUCAACGAAAAGAACGAAGAGUAUUUGACGCCAUUGCACCUAGCAGCUGACAAAUCUCAUCUUGAUGUUGUGGACGUUCUGAUCAAAAAUGGUGCAAAGGUGAAUGCACUGGACAGCUUGGGGCAGACUGCACUGCAUCGGUGCUCUCGCGAAGGAAAUGUGCAAGCUUGCCGCUUGCUCCUGUCGGCUGGGGCUGACCCUGGUAUAGUGAGUGGGCAAGGCUAUACAGCAUCACAGUUGGCCAGUGAUGCAGUUCAGCAGCUUUUGCAUGAACCUCAGCACAGCAGUGGAGAUGCAGAGUUCCAGCUGCUUGAAGCAGCAAAAGCUGGAGAUCUUGACAUUGUGAAGAAAUUGAUAUCGUCUCAUGCUGACAUUGUGAACUGCAGAGAUGUGGAUGGGCGACAGUCAACGCCAUUGCACUUUGCAGCAGGGUACAAUCGUGUGGCAGUGGUUGAAUUCUUGCUUCAGCAUGGUGCUGAUGUUCAUGCCAAAGACAAAGGGGGCUUGGUGCCUCUACAUAAUGCUUGCUCAUAUGGCCAUUAUGAAGUAGCUGACCUUUUGGUGAAGCAUGGUGCCAGUGUAAAUGUUUCUGAUCUCUGGAAGUUCACGCCACUUCAUGAAGCAACUGCUAAAGGAAAAUAUGACAUUGUGAAGCUGUUGCUUAAGCAUGGAGCUGACCCAAGCAAGAAGAACCGUGACGGUAAUACACCUCUUGAUUUAGUGAAAGAUGGUGACCAAGAUGUGGCAGAUCUUCUCAAAGGGGAUGCUGCACUUUUAGAUGCUGCUAAGAAGGGCAAUCUUGCAAGGGUCAUGAAGCUGGUAUCAAGUGAAAAUAUUAAUUGUAGGGACUCUCAAGGCAGGAACUCAACACCACUGCAUUUGGCGGCCGGAUACAACAACCUGGAAGUUGCAGAGUUGUUACUUGAAAAUGGUGCAGAUGUCAAUGCACAGGACAAAGGAGGCCUGAUUCCACUUCAUAAUGCAUCUUCUUAUGGGCAUUUGGACAUAGCAGCCUUGUUGAUAAAAUACAAUACUGUGGUGAAUGCUACUGACCGGUGGGGCUUUACACCACUGCAUGAGGCUGCACAAAAAGGUCGGACACAGCUCUGUGCCUUGUUGCUGGCACAUGGCGCAGACUCAACAAUGAAGAACCAUGAAGGUCAGACACCUCUAGACAUUGCAGCAGCAGAAGAUGUGCGCUGCCUGCUGACCGAUGCCAUGCCUCCACAUGCCCUCCCUCCUUCGGCUAAAGCAUCAGCAGUUCAGCCACAAUGCCCAUCGAACAUGCUAGGAGGAAGCCCACUGUCAGCGCUGUCAUUGGAAGCACUGGAGGCUGAAAUCCCUGCAGCCAUGAGCCUGCUGUCAACACAGCGUGCCGGUCACGUACGAGAAGGCUCAGCAGCCAGUGAACCUCUCGCUGAGCUGACGACACACAACAAAGAAUUUAUGCAGUUUCUCACCAACAUUGGCCUGGGGCAUCUUUGUGAGCUUUUUGAGAAAGAGAUGAUUACAAUUGACAUCUUGGCUGAGAUGGGUCACGAGGAACUGAAGCAGAUAGGCGUGUCUGCUUAUGGGCACCGACACAAGUUGAUGAAGGGCAUUGAGAAGCUGCUCACAGGUCGAGCAAUCUCGUCAACACUUAUGCCCAACACAACUGGAACUGUCUUAGUGGACCUUUCGCCUGAUGAUAAAGAGUACAUGGCUGUAGAAGAGGAGCUUCAAGCUACCAUCCGUGAACAUAGGGACAAUGGAUAUGCGGGUGGAAUUUUCAUGCACUACAACAUCAUCAAGAUUCAAAAAGUGCGCAACCGGAAACUCCUGGAACGCUACUGCCAUCGGAGGAAAGAAGUUGCUGAGGAAAACCACAACCAGUCCAAUGAGCGCAUGCUCUUUCAUGGCUCACCCUUCAUCAAUGCAAUUGUUCAGAAGGGGUUUGAUGAACGCCAUGCCUACAUUGGGGGCAUGUUUGGAGCUGGGAUUUAUUUUGCAGAGAACUCAUCCAAAAGCAAUCAGUAUGUCUAUGGCACCUGCGGAGGAACGGGCUGCCCAAUACACAAAGAUCGUUCCUGCUACAUCUGCCACAGGCAAAUGCUGUUGUGUCGUGUGACACUGGGCAAGUCAUUCCUGCAAUUCAGUGCCAUGAAGAUGGCACAUGCUCCACCUGGUCACCAUUCAGUCAUUGGGCGGCCCAGCGUAGGUGGACUCUCCUACCCCGAGUAUGUUGUCUAUCGGGGCGAGCAGGCGUACCCGGAGUACCUGAUAUCCUACCAGAUUGAGAAACCUCAGGAUCAUGUCGUUCUGAGUUCGUAACAGGGUCUACUCCUGGCGAAGAACACUCAUUAUGGAUUCCAUGUCUUUGCAGUGAGCACAGCCUUCGAUGGGGGACUAGUGUCUGUGUGUGUUCAGUGGCAGUUUUUUUGGUGUAUGAGAAUGAUGAAGGUUCAAGCACAGGCUGUCCUAGCUACGACAAAACACUCUGAAGCUGGUUCAUUGUAUAUAGGAGGUGCUAGAAACAGAAUUUUAAUAUGAAAAUAGCAUUUUGAAACUAGAGCAGGCUUUAAUUGACAUUGAAACUGAAUUUUAGUUAGGCAUUGUUGGCCUUUUUAACUGAGUAGUAGGCCAAAAUGCAAUACAGUUCUUGUGGUGAUAAAAGUAUCUUACUUUGUGGGGCUUGUCCCAAGCAGCUCAUUUUGCUGAGAUCGGUGUUAUGUGAUAGUGCUUAUUUCUUCGUGUACAUAGCUUAUUGUGUGUAUGAAUGCAUCCUUUUCUAGAGUUUUAUCGUUUGUGUGACAUAUGUGCUAUUUAUAGGCCUGUUUUUAGUUGCCCAUUGUCAAACUUGCAUAGGUAAGAGUUAUUUCACAUAUAAGAUGUGGAAUCUUUCAGAGAUUUGCAAUGAUACAUAAUACUUAUUGUGUGAGUGGCUUGCACGAUCUUAUAUCACUGUAUACUGUUUUGUAACAGCCACACU